Molecule: ribosomal RNA, 262 nt
Filed under: uncultured bacterium
Lineage: Bacteria
Description: partial 16S ribosomal RNA
Rfam family: Bacterial small subunit ribosomal RNA
Source: RNAcentral
UCAUCCUACGGGACGCAGCAGUGGGGAAUAUUGCACAAUGGGGGGAACCCUGAUACAGCGACGCCGCGUGGGUGAAGGAGUACUUCGGUACGUAAAGCCCUCUCAGCAGGAAAGAAAAUGACGGUACCUGACUAAGAAGCCCCGGCUAACUACGUGCCAGCAGCCGCGGUAAUACGUAGGGGGCAAGCGUUAUCCGGAUUUACUGGGUGUAAAGGGAGCGUAGACGGCAGUGCAAGUCCGGAGUGAACGCCCGGGGCUCAAC